AGUACAAUAGCUGGGUCAAAUGGUGACUCCAUUCCUAGUUUUCCAAGGAAUCUCCAUACUGCUUUCCACAAUGGCUGCACCAAUUUGCAGUUCUACCAGCAAU
RNAcentral lists this microRNA precursor (103 nucleotides) under Marmota monax (woodchuck). The record is from RNAcentral. Lineage: Eukaryota; Metazoa; Chordata; Mammalia; Rodentia; Sciuridae.